UAGUCAUAUGCUUGUCCCAAAGAUUAAGCCAUGCAUGUCCAAGUAUAAACAAGUCUAUACUGUGAAACUGCGAAUGGCUCAUUAUAUCAGUUAUAAUUUAUUUGAUAGUCUCUUUACUACUUGGAUAACCGUGGUAAUUCUAGAGCUAAUACAUGCACAAUGCCCGACUGGCUCCGCCGGAAGGGCUGUAUUUAUUAGAUUAAAAACCAAUGCGGGAAACCGCUCAAGGUGAUUCAUAAUAACUCUGCGGAUCGCACGGCCCUGCGCCGGCGACGUUU
This 278-nucleotide ribosomal RNA is filed under the name uncultured eukaryote. RNAcentral describes it as "partial 18S ribosomal RNA". It matches the Rfam family "Eukaryotic small subunit ribosomal RNA", at positions 21 to 295 of the family's 1831-position model. The record is from RNAcentral.